UACGUAGGUGGCAAGCGUUGUCCGGAUUUACUGGGCGUAAAGCGCCCGCCGGCGGCUUGGCAAGUCUGAGGUGAAAUCUCCCGGCUCAACUGGGAGGGUGCCCCGGAAACUGCCAGGCUCGAGGCAGGGAGAGGGAUGUGGAAUUCCCGGUGUAGUGGUGAAAUGCGUAGAUAUCGGAAGAACACCAGUGGCGAAGGCGGCUCACUGGUCCGGUACUGACGCUGAGGUGCGAAAGCGUGGGGAGCAAACAGG
This 252-nucleotide ribosomal RNA is filed under the name uncultured bacterium. RNAcentral describes it as "partial 16S ribosomal RNA". It matches the Rfam family "Bacterial small subunit ribosomal RNA", at positions 524 to 776 of the family's 1533-position model. The record is from RNAcentral.